UAUGAAAGUAUGAUACUGUUUUCUUGUGCCUAGUUAUGUUAGAAAUGGUUACUUACAACUUAUCAACGGCUGAAAAGGAAAACUUAUAUGCCAUGGAAUGACCACUUAAUUUAUUUCUAGAGUAUUUAUUUAGUUUAUGACAUCUCCUGCCUCGCGUCUACCCGCAAUUGCGUCACCAUUAUGCUCACAUUUUCAUUCAUUCAUAGUCUCACACAAUAUCACUCUCAUCUCUAUUUAGCUCUCCUCACAGUCUCGCUCGCAAUGUUUAUAUUUUUUCUAAUUUUAAGUUCAUUUGCUUUAACAAUGUUUUGUAGAUUUGUGUGGUGUGUCUCUUGUGAAAGCAAAUCAACAAGAUAGAAGGGUUGCAACUCAUUUUGCCAAAGAAUUGAAGGUAAUUCAUUGAUAGAGUGAUUUUCCAACAAUUUAAUUAGUUGCUUUUGUGUUGAGUGUAUUUUGAACAUCUCUGUCAAAUAAUAUAAGUGUUGAUGCAGCAAAGAACUGCCUCAAUCUUGUAUUAAACAAGGUAACAAUGGAUAUAGUAGAUUUGCAUGACAUGAUAUAUAUUCAUAUAGCCUUUUUGUUAUAUUUGCAAUUAGUUGUAGAUCCUACAAUCAUUUUGUCUUUACUAAUUACUCCCCAUAAUUAAGGAAAAUAUUGUAGCUAAGGCAAUUCCUUUCUCAAUUAGGGCAACAAAUGGUCUUCCUCUUUAGAGGUUACAGGAUAGUUCAUAGUAGUCUAUGAUAUAUUUUCUAUAUAUCUGCAUAUAUGAUAUUAUUGAAUGCACCUUUUUUUGUGAACUGUUAGGAUUUGGCAUUUCAUCACUUGUCUCUUUCUGCCCUGCUGGGAGAAAACAUCUACAACUACAAUUUUAGAGAGCUACUUGCCCAUCCUAUUUCUUUGUUUCAAGACAUUUGAAAGUCUUGUUAUGAUUAAGCCCUGCAUUUGAGGGUUGUGGAUUCAAAAUGACAUCAAUAUCUACUCAGCAACAGUUCUGAUAUGCCCAGCCACCGUCGAAGCCUAUUAGAGCAUUCACUUGGCAAGGUCAUUGAGAACUUAUAUUUUUGGUUGGUGUCUCCCGGUAUUAAAGUUUAUCAUGCUUCUUUUUAAUUGUGAAACUUCUCAAUAUUACUCCCAAAGACAUGACUUUAAAUUUUUUAAAGAGUUACAAGCUUGUCUUAUAGCUUUCAAAGAAUUAGCUUGAUGUGGUGAAGGUCAAAUGACAUUUGACGUAAUUCUGUAUGGGUAGUUCAAUGACAAUUUUCUAGAGGUUAAGAAGCUCUACAUCCAGAGGAAAGAUUAAAUCAAAUAGUCGAAAAAGAUCUAAUGACAAAGUGACUUUGUUAAAUGGGAAGAAAUGGUCCACGUUGCACUCAUCUGUAGACAUUUUAGGUGACUCUGUUGAUUAUGUGUAAUUGCAUAUGCCUCUAAGCAUUAGUACUCAGGCAUCACAUGAGCUAAACUAAGGCUUUUCUCUUGUACUAAAGAUCAACGAUUUAGAAACUGAGUGGUGUCAUUCAUACAUGCUAUAAGCAAAGGAUUGAUUAAGUUUGAAAUUUUGAGUUGUAUUUUGUUGUUGGAUUA
Long non-coding RNA from Trifolium pratense (red clover), 1581 nucleotides. RefSeq lists it as uncharacterized. Lineage: Eukaryota; Viridiplantae; Streptophyta; Magnoliopsida; Fabales; Fabaceae. The record is from RefSeq and is a predicted model, not a curated record. The transcript has 6 exons.